GAUGAACGCUGGCGGCGUGCCUAAUACAUGCAAGUCGAGCGAACGGACGAGAAGCUUGCUUCUCUGAUGUUAGCGGCGGACGGGUGAGUAACACGUGGAUAACCUACCUAUAAGACUGGGAUAACUUCGGGAAACCGGAGCUAAUACCGGAUAAUAUUUUGAACCGCAUGGUUCAAAAGUGAAAGACGGUCUUGCUGUCACUUAUAGAUGGAUCCGCGCUGCAUUAGUUAGUUGGUAAGGUAACGGCUUACCAAGGCAACGAUGCAUAGCCGACCUGAGAGGGUGAUCGGCCACACUGGAACUGAGACACGGUCCAGACUCCUACGGGAGGCAGCAGUAGGGAAUCUUCCGCAAUGGGCGAAAGCCUGACGGAGCAACGCCGCGUGAGUGAUGAAGGUCUUCGGAUCGUAAAACUCUGUUAUUAGGGAAGAACAUAUGCGUAAGUAACUGUGCACAUCUUGACGGUACCUAAUCAGAAAGCCACGGCUAACUACGUG
Molecule: ribosomal RNA, 497 nt
Filed under: uncultured bacterium
Lineage: Bacteria
Description: partial 16S ribosomal RNA
Rfam family: Bacterial small subunit ribosomal RNA
Source: RNAcentral